This is a non-coding RNA of Ciona intestinalis (vase tunicate), 383 nucleotides long. NCBI's taxonomy places the organism in Eukaryota, Metazoa, Chordata, Ascidiacea, Phlebobranchia, Cionidae. The record is from RefSeq and is a predicted model, not a curated record.
UGAGCUGUGCGCUACCUUAAAGUUGUCAGAAGAAAAGCAGAGAAGAUUACCAAACAUAAAUCGUUUUGAAUUUUCCCAAUCAACUCGAUGCAGCAUCUCAGUGUCAAAGUGAACAAGGUCGAAUAAAAUCUUCUCGUAGCAAACGAAACUGAACAUCAAGAUAGUCAUCCACACUGGAAGAUAACUGGCAAACAGUCUCGCCUGAAUCGCGACGAAUAAUAAAAUCCACUUUGUCGCCAAAACAGUUUCUGGUUCUGCAGUAUUUGGAUGCACGAAAAAACACUUGUAGGCCUAUUGCAUACAAAACAAAUAAUGGGUCAUUUUGCCUGUCUACCAGAAUGGCAGGAGAAAUGUCCACUGGUCUUAAUACCAACAUGUCUACC